CUCAGCUGUUCAUUCGCCGCGAUCGCGGCGCCAUCUUCUACAGUUACGAAGAUGGCGCGGUCGACGUAUGCGGUAGUUUUUAACCAUCUGAAGAUUCGAACAAAUUUCGUGUAUUGUGUGCGAAUGUUCAUACUGUUGUUGACGGCAUGUAUCCUGUUUGCUUGCGACAAUGAUUGCAUACAACAUAAAAUUCAUUGUUAUUCUUCAAUGAAUCUAUAUAGACACCUGGGAUGAGCUGAUUCUUCGGAUUAGUGGCCCAUCGGCGACCUUGACCGGCAAUCGAAGGGUUCAAAUGGACGGGUGAAUCAACGAGGUCCGCAUGGUUUGCUUUGAAGGCAAAGGCGUGUCCAGCGGAAGCCACGAUUCAUCGUCGAACAAAGACAGACUCGAUAAUAGAGAGACAGAAGAGCUUAAGAACAACUGACUGCGACUUCUCGAGGAAGAAAGGGGAAACGCUUAUGCGGCCGAUUGAUUAAAAGCUCAUGCGGUACUCAGAGCGUCGCGUGAAUUUUUAAUGAGGGAAGCGGAGGCUGAAGGAGAACCGAUAGACUUCCAAGUAGCGCGAUCGGCUUUCGAGAUGACGCUUCCAUCCCUUUUGAGAGGACCACGGCCUGGAGGAGAGUGCUAGGCUGGAGAACGCAAAGGGUGCUCGAACACCCUUUGUCCGCGAUGAAGACUCGGCCCCUCGAACAGGUACCUCGCGACCCCGUGAAUCUUUCCUCAAUUUGGAAGCUGUCCAGCUAUUUCGUGAAUAGAGGUUCCUCACGUCUCUUCGCUCACUCAUGGACGAGCGUGUCAUCGACGAGGUCCUAGAAAGUACACUAGAAGCUUCGGUAUGCGAACAUUCUAUUAUUCUGAACAGCUGUUAAGUGAAUGAUCUCUUAUAUAUAUUUUUUUAUUACAAUACUGUAUGUAAAUAUAUGUAUAUAAAUAAAUGCUUACACGUA
Long non-coding RNA from Ceratina calcarata, 947 nucleotides. RefSeq lists it as uncharacterized. The transcript has 5 exons. The record is from RefSeq and is a predicted model, not a curated record. NCBI's taxonomy places the organism in Eukaryota, Metazoa, Arthropoda, Insecta, Hymenoptera, Apidae.